Passer domesticus (house sparrow) is the source of this 1676-nucleotide long non-coding RNA. RefSeq lists it as uncharacterized. The record is from RefSeq and is a predicted model, not a curated record. NCBI's taxonomy places the organism in Eukaryota, Metazoa, Chordata, Aves, Passeriformes, Passeridae. The transcript is spliced from 7 exons.
GUCCUCAGCCCUGCGUACACCAGCGAGCUCUAACACACACAUGACUUUGAGCACACUUGUAGGAGUCUGCAGAGGACGCGUACACGCGCGCAGACAGAACCUGCUGUAACUCUCCGUGGUGCCUUCUGGGGCGGGGGAGAGCGUGGCUCCAAGCCCCGGACAGCCCAAACAGCCCCGCGAACCCACCUGUGCGCGGGCCGCGGCCCCGGCCCGAGGCGCCGAGCCCGGCCCAGCCCGGCCCCACACCUGCCCCGCUCACAAAAUGGCAGGUGAGCAGCGCGGCCGCCCCCGCCCCGGCCCCUCGCACUCACGAUCUCCAGGAAGAUGACGGCUCCCGAGAAGGAUGGACAUAUUUGUGCACAUGUAGAGAGUGUUUUCAUCCACUACAGUGAAUAACUCCUGACAGUGGAGUGAGGAGUUCUCAGAUGUGCUGGAUGAAGGGAGAGAAAGGGAUGGUGAAUUGUCUACCAAAAAAUGUAUUUCUGCUUCUUCAGGUCCUGAGAAAGUUGUGUCUCUCCUGCUAACAUGGACUUGCAGAAAGCUCUGGUAUUCCUGAGCUAUUGAAGUUUCUUGUUGGACUUACUGACAACAUUUUAGAUUUUCUCUGACAAACUUUAAAGUCUUUUCAAGACCUAGAAAUUAGUGAGAAAUAAAUCCAUCAGUUCACAUGGAAGGCCAAAGACAAUCUGAGAAGCUAUAAACUGAUCAGCAUUGCUUUGGUCCCUGUGAAACAUAAAGGAUUGGAUCUCCUUGGAGCACAUGUCUGGGCAUAUGAAGGAGAAAGUGAUCAAAAACAAUCAGCAUGGAUCUACCAAAUAUUUGCAGAUGAUACCAAAUUGGAGGGAACAGUGAAUAUGCUGUGGGCAGUGCUAUCAUACAGAAGAACCUAGGCAGGCUGGAGGAAUGGGCCAAGAGGAACCUUAUGAAAUUCAGCAAGGACAAGUGCAAGGUUCCUGUCACCUGGGAAUGCUGAGCCCUUGCACCAAUACAUGCUGGGGGUGAUUGGUUUUCCUGCAAGGGCUCUGGAGAGUCAUGGCAGACAGCACACAGCCUGUGCAUCAGGAGCGUGCCCUGGCAGCAAAGAAGGCAAUGGCCUCCUGACUGUGCUGGAGAGAGCACAGCCAGGAGCUUGUGGGAAGGGAUUAUGCUCCUGCUCAGCACCUGUCAGACCACAUCCAGGCACUGUGUCCUUUUGAGCCCCUCCAGGAAAUGCAGUGAGAAAUUGGAGCCAAGUUUAGCUGAGACUCCCCAGAAUGGCUGGAGUCAGAGCCAGGUGAGGAGGAUGUAAAGGAACUGGAUUUAUGCAGCCUGGAGAAGAGGCGGCUUCAGGUGAACCCAAUAGCAGCUGCCAGCACCUGUGAGGGUGUCUUCAAGAAGACAAAUCCAGGCUCUUCUCAGUGGUAUGAAAUACCAGAUUGCUAGAAGAAACACCUGAAGCAGUGAGUCACUGGCCUCUUCCAGCUUGGGACUUUGCAAGGCAGAAGAACAGAAAUCAUAGGAAGUAUGUCUCCCUCCAGAAUCCAGGACAUGCCCACCCUUUCAAAUGAUGGAAAUAUCACUCAUGCUGGGCUACAGCACAGUUGUCCUCCUGCACCAAAUACUCUAAACUGAAAAAAUCCCUCUACCAGCCAAAGAGUCUUUGAAAAGCCCUGGGUCUAAUGACUGAUUUGCUUUGA